GUAGGUGGCAAGCGUUGUCCGGAAUUAUUGGGCGUAAAGCGCGCGCAGGUGGUUCUUUAAGUCUGAUGUGAGAGCCCCCGGCUCAACCGGGGAGGGUCAUUGGAAACUGGGGAACUUGAGUGCAGGAGAGGAAAGUGGAAUUCCACGUGUAGCGGUGAAAUGCGUAGAUAUGUGGAGGAACACCAGUGGCGAAGGCGACUUUCUGGCCUGUAACUGACACUGAGGCGCGAAAGCGUGGGGAGCAAACAGGAUUAGAUACCCUGGUAGUCCACGCCGUAAGCGAUGAGUGCUAAGUGUUGGGGGGGUUUCCCGCCCCUCAGUGCUGCAGCUAACGCAUUAAGCACUCCGCCUGGGGAGUACGGUCGCAAGACUG
Molecule: ribosomal RNA, 373 nt
Filed under: uncultured organism
Description: partial 16S ribosomal RNA
Rfam family: Bacterial small subunit ribosomal RNA
Source: RNAcentral